Molecule: transfer RNA, 62 nt
Filed under: Chrysotila carterae
Lineage: Eukaryota; Haptophyta; Isochrysidales; Isochrysidaceae
Rfam family: tRNA
About the family: Transfer RNA (tRNA) molecules are approximately 80 nucleotides in length.
Source: RNAcentral
UUGUAGCUUAAUUGGUAAAAGCAGCCGACUUUUAAUUAGCAUACGGGAGUUCGAAUCUUCUC